This 484-nucleotide ribosomal RNA is filed under the name uncultured bacterium. RNAcentral describes it as "partial 16S ribosomal RNA". It matches the Rfam family "Bacterial small subunit ribosomal RNA", at positions 30 to 507 of the family's 1533-position model. The record is from RNAcentral.
AUUGAACGCUGGCGGCAGGCCUAACACAUGCGAGUCGAGCGGAUGAAGGGAGCUUGCUCCUGGAUUCAGCGGCGGACGGGUGAGAAAUGCCUAGGAAUCUGCCUGGUAGUGGGGGAUAACGUCCGGAAACGGGCGCUAAUACCGCAUACGUCCUGAGGGAGAAAGUGGGGGAUCUUCGGACCUCACGCUAUCAGAUGAGCCUAGGUCGGAUUAGCUAGUUGGUGGGGUAAAGGCCUACCAAGGCGACGAUCCGUAACUGGUCUGAGAGGAUGAUCAGUCACACUGGAACUGAGACACGGUCCAGACUCCUACGGGAGGCAGCAGUGGGGAAUAUUGGACAAUGGGCGAAAGCCUGAUCCAGCCAUGCCGCGUGUGUGAAGAAGGUCUUCGGAUUGUAAAGCACUUUAAGUUGGGAGGAAGGGCAGUAAGUUAAUACCUUGCUGUUUUGACGUUACCAACAGAAUAAGCACCGGCUAACUUCGUG